AUGAACGGAAAGGCGAAAGCAGUGGUGGUGGGGCUCGUGGCUCGGCUCGCCCAGGAUUCGAGGCAAAGCCCCUCGCUUUGGCGUGCGCUUUGCUCGGUUGGCUUGGGCUCGGGGUGGUGGAGCCGUGGAGGAAACUGCCGGGAGGAGGAGGAGGAGGAGGAUGGCUUGAGAUUCCUAUCGUGUGGAGGUUUUUAUCAUCGUCGACCAACCAGUGAGCAGUGUGGGAGAGUGAGGGCUACUGAGGAGGAGGAGGAGGAGGCCGGCCGGGUGGCUUCCAGUCCAGUGAGUCCAGCCUCCGUCGCCUUUGGCCUUUUUUCUGUUGGAGAUUAG
Molecule: ribosomal RNA, 330 nt
Filed under: Triticum aestivum (bread wheat)
Lineage: Eukaryota; Viridiplantae; Streptophyta; Magnoliopsida; Poales; Poaceae
Description: partial small subunit ribosomal RNA
Source: RNAcentral